Molecule: RNA transcript, 1105 nt
Organism: Neltuma alba
Lineage: Eukaryota; Viridiplantae; Streptophyta; Magnoliopsida; Fabales; Fabaceae
Exons: 6
Source: RefSeq, a predicted model, not a curated record
AGAAAGAGAACCAUCCACCAUUGCUAAUUACGCCAUUACGCCUAUGGCGCUUUCGAUUUCAGCUCUGAACCAUUUCGCAUCCAUACAACUCAAAUGCUUUCCUUCCAACUACACCAUUCUCGUCUCCUCCUCUUCCUUUCUUGUUCCUUCUUCUGCCUCCUCUGCCUUCUCGCCGAGGAGAUUUUCUGCGCUGGCCAUUCCUAAACGCUGUCGUUUGCAACGCGUUUCUGCCUCUGCUGCUUCUAGAGAUGACGAUUCCCGACGGGCUGGUGAACUUUCGUCCCUCUCACCUGAAUUUGUUGUUCUCAAUGUUGAGGGUAUGAUGUGCGAGGGAUGUGCAGAUAGUGUGAAAAAGCUUCUGGAGAGUCGACCCCAAGUAUCAUCCGCUAGCGUAAAUCUGGCAGAAAAAAUAGCAACAGUUUGGCCAGCACCUGAAGCAAAAACUGGAUCAAAUUGGCAUAAUAAAUUAGGAGGUGGACUUGCAGAGCAUUUAACAAACUGCGGCUUCAAGUCUAGCCUUCAAGGUCCGGAAGAUGGAGACUGAAGGAGUUAUACCAUAAAAGAGAAGGUGGUCAUCCGGAGUCAAGGGCGAGUCUGUGAGGCUUCUUGUGGUGGGGUAUUUGAUAAAGAGAUCUGUUCUUGGCCGCUCUGCAUCUUGAAGAAUUUGCUGAUUGCUGGUGUUCAAUAUAAGCAAUCCAUCAAGAUUUUUCAAAGGACUCAGUUAAUGUGAAGUUGAUUGUAUAUAGUUGGCAUGAUAGAUGGGAAUAUCUAGUGUGAAGUGAGCAUGAUGUCAGAAGUUCGAUCCCGGUCCCUUUCCAUUACUUCCAAGGCUUAGGAGCCUCCUUUGUACUGGAAUCCAACAUUAAAGUAUUUUCUUAUGAAGAUUUAUUUCAUCCACAAUGUCCAAUACACCCAUACAUACAUAUUUGUGUGUCUCAAAAUAAAAUUUACUUGUAGUUUAUAAUUUGAUAUCGGGAAACCCUAAUAAUUUGUUUAUAACAAAAUAAAUAAAGCCUUAUUGUAAGCCUUUGAACGAAAAUGAGGCUGCCUGUAGAGUGUCAUCACUUUGCUAUUUGCAGACAAGUUUACUGUUUGUUUACACUUA